GACGAGCUUAAAAAUUCGUUAAAGGGCAUAUCUGUGAAACCUUUGGUGUUUGCUUCUUACGCCCAGUUUGGGGUGGAUGCUGGAGAUGAAGAUAAUGGGCAACUCAUAAUGGCAUAUGAGAAAUGCCCCACUAUCUGUGGAGACCAGUUAUUGUGGUUAAUCUAUACGUUAUUACUGAUGAUUGAUUACGGAACUGGAUAGAAACCUGUAUUGUGGCGAAAGCUAUGUGCAGCGUAGCCUGUCUUGAGUGAGAGUUUUGGGAUAAAUGAUCUUAUUUAUUAUAAGCGGCCACUUAUAAUAAAUAUUGCAUUUUGAAAUGACUCUUGCAAAAAAGAAUUAGAGAUGAAGAAUUGUUGGGGAAAUCCCCUAGAGUGUACUAUUAAAUUAGGAUUGCAGUGGAUACUAAGUGGUAAUCAAGUCAUAUGAACGGUGACGUCAUAGAGAUUCUUAUAAUGGGGAACCGCAAUUCUGGUAACGGAAUUGUAAGAAUCGGGGAAAUCCUACUUGACCUAAGAUUCAAAGUUAACUAUUUUAAUCGCCAACAAUUAA
RNAcentral lists this small RNA (549 nucleotides) under bovine gut metagenome. The record is from RNAcentral.